AGCUCUCCGGUGGCCUAACUGUUAGAGCGUCCGCCUUAGAUGCGGGAGCUAAUGUGUUCGAUCCACAGCCGAGUCA
This is a non-coding RNA of Potamilus streckersoni, 76 nucleotides long. Lineage: Eukaryota; Metazoa; Mollusca; Bivalvia; Unionida; Unionidae. The record is from the annotation of a GenBank genome assembly.